GUGGGGAAUUUUGCGCAAUGGGGGAAACCCUGACGCAGCAACGCCGCGUGCGGGACGAAGGCCUUCGGGUUGUAAACCGCUUUCAGCAGGGACGAAUUCCGACGGUACCUGCAGAAGAAGCCCCGGCUAACUACGUGCCAGCAGCCGCGGUAAUACGUAGGGGGCGAGCGUUAUCCGGAUUCAUUGGGCGUAAAGCGCGCGUAGGCGGCGCGUCAAGCGGGACCUCUAACCCCGGGGCUCAACCCCGGGCCGGGUCCCGGACUGGCGCGCUCGAGUGCGGUAGAGGCGAGUGGAAUUCCCGGUGUAGCGGUGGAAUGCGCAGAUAUCGGGAAGAACACCGAUGGCGAAGGCAGCUCGCUGGGCCGACACUGACGCUGAGGCGCGAAAGCUGGGGGAGCGAACAGGA
RNAcentral lists this ribosomal RNA (406 nucleotides) under uncultured bacterium. Its description in RNAcentral is "bacterial SSU rRNA". It matches the Rfam family "Bacterial small subunit ribosomal RNA", at positions 354 to 777 of the family's 1533-position model. The record is from RNAcentral.